RNAcentral lists this ribosomal RNA (119 nucleotides) under Brassica napus (rape). The record is from RNAcentral. Lineage: Eukaryota; Viridiplantae; Streptophyta; Magnoliopsida; Brassicales; Brassicaceae.
AUUCGGGAUCAUACCAGCACUAAUGUACCGGACCCCAUCAGAAUUCUGCAGUUAGGCAUCUUUGGACGAGAGUAGUAUUAGGAUGGGUGACCUCCAGGAAAGUCCUCGCGUUGCACCCC